CGUGCAGGUGUGUGUUCCAGGUAAAUCCGGUUCACUUUAACACUGAGGCGUGAUGACGAGGCACCACGGUGCUGAAGCAACAAAUGCCCUGCUUCCAGGAAAAGCCUCUAAGCCUCAGGUAACAUCAAAUCGUACCCCAAACCGACACAGGUGGUCAGGUAGAGAAUACCAAGGCGCUUGAGAGAACUCGGGUGAAGGAACUAGGCAAAAUGGUGCCGUAACUUCGGGAGAAGGCACGCUGACACGUAGGUGAAGUGGUUUACCCAUGGAGCUGAAGUCAGUCGAAGAUACCAGCUGGCUGCAACUGUUUAUUAAAAACACAGCACUGUGCAAACACGAAAGUGGACGUAUACGGUGUGACGCCUGCCCGGUGCCGGAAGGUUAAUUGAUGGGGUCAGCGCAAGCGAAGCUCCUGAUCGAAGCCCCGGUAAACGGCGGCCGUAACUAUAACGGUCCUAAGGUAGCGAAAUUCCUUGUCGGGUAAGUUCCGACCUGCACGAAUGGCGUAAUGAUGGCCAGGCUGUCUCCACCCGGGACUCAGUGAAAUUGAACUCGCUGUGAAGAUGCAGUGUACCCGCGGCAAGACGGAAAGACCCCGUGAACCUUUACUAUAGCUUGACACUGAACACUGGUCCUUGAUGUGCAGGAUAGGUGGGAGGCUUUGAAGUGUGGACGCCAGUCUGCAUGGAGCCAUCCUUGAAAUACCACCCUUUAAUGGCUGGUGUUCUAACGUGGGCCCGUGAACCGGGUUGCGGACAGUGUCUGGUGGGUAGUUUGACUGGGGCGGUCUCCUCCUAAAGAGUAACGGAGGAGCACGAAGGUUGGCUAAUCCUGGUCGGACAUCAGGAGGUUAGUGCAAUGGCAUAAGCCAGCUUGACUGCGAGCGUGACGGCGCGAGCAGGUGCGAAAGCAGGUCAUAGUGAUCCGGUGGUUCUGAAUGGAAGGGCCAUCGCUCAACGGAUAAAAGGUACUCCGGGGAUAACAGGCUGAUACCGCCCAAGAGUUCAUAUCGACGGCGGUGUUUGGCACCUCGAUGUCGGCUCAUCACAUCCUGGGGCUGAAGUAGGUCCCAAGGGUAUGGCUGUUCGCCAUUUAAAGUGGUACGCGAGCUGGGUUUAGAACGUCGUGAGACAGUUCGGUCCCUAUCUGCCGUGGGCGCUGGAAGAUUGAGGGGGGCUGCUCCUAGUACGAGAGGACCGGAGUGGACGCAUCACUGGUGUU
RNAcentral lists this ribosomal RNA (1221 nucleotides) under Salmonella enterica subsp. houtenae. RNAcentral describes it as "partial 23S ribosomal RNA". It matches the Rfam family "Bacterial large subunit ribosomal RNA", at positions 1517 to 2716 of the family's 2925-position model. Lineage: Bacteria; Pseudomonadati; Pseudomonadota; Gammaproteobacteria; Enterobacterales; Enterobacteriaceae. The record is from RNAcentral.